AUUGAACGCUGGCGGCAGGCCUAAUACAUGCAAGUCGAACGAGUGGCGGACUGGUGAGUAAUGUCUGGGAAACUGCCUGAUGGAGGGGGAUUACUUCUGGAAACGGUAGCUAAUACCGCAUACCAUCAGAUGUGCCCAGAUGGGAUUAGCUAGUUGGUGGGGCAACGGCUCACCAAGGCGACGAUCCCUAGCUGGUCUGAGAGGAUGACCAGCCACACUGGAACUGAGACACGGUCCAGACUCCUACGGGAGGCAGCAGUGGGGAAUAUUGCACAAUGGGCGCAAGCCUGAUGCAGCCAUGCCGCGUGUAUGAAGAAGGCCUUCGGGUUGUAAAGUACUUUCAGCGGGGAGGCGUUACCAGCAGAAGAAGCACCGGCUAACUCCGUGCCAGCAGCCGCGGUAAUAC
RNAcentral lists this ribosomal RNA (406 nucleotides) under uncultured bacterium. RNAcentral describes it as "partial 16S ribosomal RNA". It matches the Rfam family "Bacterial small subunit ribosomal RNA", at positions 30 to 526 of the family's 1533-position model. The record is from RNAcentral.